This 497-nucleotide ribosomal RNA is filed under the name uncultured bacterium. RNAcentral's name for it is "partial 16S ribosomal RNA". It matches the Rfam family "Bacterial small subunit ribosomal RNA", at positions 28 to 507 of the family's 1533-position model. The record is from RNAcentral.
GAUGAACGCUGGCGGCGUGCCUAAUACAUGCAAGUCGAGCGAACAGACGAGGAGCUUGCUCCUCUGACGUUAGCGGCGGACGGGUGAGUAACACGUGGAUAACCUACCUAUAAGACUGGGAUAACUUCGGGAAACCGGAGCUAAUACCGGAUAAUAUAUUGAACCGCAUGGUUCAAUAGUGAAAGACGGUUUUGCUGUCACUUAUAGAUGGAUCCUCGCCGCAUUAGCUAGUUGGUAAGGUAACGGCUUACCAAGGCAACGAUGCGUAGCCGGCCUGAGAGGGUGAUCGGCCAAACUGGAACUGAGACACGGUCCAGACUCCUACGGGAGGCAGCAGUAGGGAAUCUUCCGCAAUGGGCGAAAGCCUGACGGAGCAACGCCGCGUGAGUGAUGAAGGUCUUCGGAUCGUAAAACUCUGUUAUUAGGGAAGAACAAAUGUGUAAGUAACUAUGCACGUCUUGACGGUACCUAAUCAGAAAGCCACGGCUAACUACGUG